AUGUCAAUAAGGCGAGGAACAGAAACCAACCGGGAUUCCCCCAGUAGUGGCGAAUGAAGUGGGAAAAGCUCAAGUUUGAAGUCGGCGGGCGGAAACGCUAGUCGAAUUGUAGUCUAGAGAAAGCAACCAUACUGGCAUAUGGAGCGGUCUGAAAUGUGUUGGAACACACUCCCAUGGAAGGUGAGAGGCCUGUAAGAACGCAAACGUGGUCGGCCGGGUGUUUCGAUGAGUCGGGUUGUUUGGGAUUGCAGCCUUAAAUGUGUGGUAAAUUUCACAUAAAGCUAUAAUAAUGGCAAGAGACCGAUAGCGCACAAGUA
RNAcentral lists this ribosomal RNA (317 nucleotides) under uncultured eukaryote. RNAcentral describes it as "partial large subunit ribosomal RNA". It matches the Rfam family "Eukaryotic large subunit ribosomal RNA", at positions 40 to 350 of the family's 3401-position model. The record is from RNAcentral.